Molecule: ribosomal RNA, 484 nt
Filed under: uncultured bacterium
Lineage: Bacteria
Description: partial 16S ribosomal RNA
Rfam family: Bacterial small subunit ribosomal RNA
Source: RNAcentral
AUUGAACGCUGGCGGCAGGCCUAACACAUGCAAGUCGAGCGGAAGAACGGAGCUUGCUCCUGGUUUCAGCGGCGGACGGGUGAGUAAUGCCUAGGAAUCUGCCUGGCAGUGGUGUAUAACGUCCUGAAACGGGCGCUAAUACCGCAUACGUCCUGAGGGAGAAAGUGGGGGAUCUUCGGACCUUACGCUAUCAGAGGAGCCGAGGUCGGGUUAGCUAGUUGGUGGGGUAAAGGCCUACCAAGGCGACGAUCCGUAACUGGUCUGAGAGGCUGAUCAGUCACACUGGAACUGAGACACGGUCCUGAGUCCUACGGGAGGCAGCAGUGGGGAAUAUUGGACAAUGGGCGAAAGCAUGGUCCAGCCAUGCCGCGUGUGUGAAGAAGGUCUUCGGAUUGUAAAGCCCUUUUAGUUGUGAGGAACGGCAGUAGGUUAAUACCAUGCUGUUUUGACGUUACCAACAGAAUAAGCACCGGCUAACUUCGUG